Molecule: ribosomal RNA, 497 nt
Filed under: uncultured bacterium
Lineage: Bacteria
Description: partial 16S ribosomal RNA
Rfam family: Bacterial small subunit ribosomal RNA
Source: RNAcentral
GAUGAACGCUGGCGGCGUUCCUAAUACAUGCAAGUCGAGCGAACGGACGAGAAGCUUGCUUCUCUGAUGUUAGCGGCGGACGGGUGAGUAACACGUGGAUAACCUACCUAUAAGACUGGGAUAACUUCGGGAAACCGGAGCUAAUACCGGAUAAUAUUUUGAACCGCAUGGUUCAAAAGUGAAAGACGGUCUUGCUGUCACUUAUAGAUGGAUCCGCGCUGCAUUAGCUAGUUGGUAAGGUAACGGCUUACCAAGGCAACGAUGCAUAGCCGACCUGAGAGGGUGAUCGGCCACACUGGAACUGAGACACGGUCCAGACUCCUACGGGAGGCAGCAGUAGGGAAUCUUCCGCAAUGGGCGAAAGCCUGACGGCGCAACGCCGCGUGAGUGAUGAAGGUCUUCGGAUCGUAAAACUCUGUUAUUAGGGAAGAACAUAUGUGUAAGUAACUGUGCACAUCUUGACGGUACCUAAUCAGAAAGCCACGGCUAACUACGUG